UACGGAGGAUCCGAGCGUUAUCCGGAUUUAUUGGGUUUAAAGGGUGCGUAGGCGGUUUGAUAAGUUAGAGGUGAAAUGUCGGGGCUCAACCCCGAAACUGCCUCUAAUACUGUUGGACUAGAGAAUAGUUGCGGUAGGCGGAAUGUAUGGUGUAGCGGUGAAAUGCUUAGAGAUCAUACAGAACACCGAUUGCGAUGGUAGCUUACCAAACUAUAUCUGACGUUGAGGCACGAAAGCGUGGGUAGCAAACAGG
Molecule: ribosomal RNA, 253 nt
Filed under: uncultured bacterium
Lineage: Bacteria
Description: partial 16S ribosomal RNA
Rfam family: Bacterial small subunit ribosomal RNA
Source: RNAcentral